GAGGGCUGAGGGGCUGAGGGCUAAGGGCUGAGGGGCUGAUGGGGCUGAGGGCUGAGGGGCUGAGGGGCUGAGGGGGCAGAGGGGCUCAAGGGGCUGAGGGCUGAGGGGCUGAGGGCUGAGGGGCUGAGGGCCUGAGGGACUGAGGGCUGAGGGCUGAGGGGCUGAGGAGGCUGAGGGGGCUGAGGGCUGAGGGGUUGAGGGAGCUGAGGGCUGAGGAGCUGAGGGGUUGAAGGCUGAGGGGCUGAGGGCUGAGGGGUUGAAGGGGCUGACGGGCUAAGGGGCUGAAGGGGCUGAGGGAGCUGAGGGCUGAGGAGCUGAGGGGUUGAAGGCUGAGGGGCUGAGGGCUGAGGGGUCUGAGGGCUGAGGGGUUGAAGGGGCUGAGGGGCUGAGAGGCUGAAGGGGCUGAGGGGCUGAAGGAGGCUGAGGCUGGGGUAGGCCUGGAGAUGGGGUGGUCAGCCUGGGGGCUGCAGGGGUCUCCCAAGGCCUCCCUGUGGGUCUUUCGAGGGCACAGGCCCUGCUCCCGGAGGCUGGGAGUUCUGGCCGCAGGGCCUGUCCUUCAGUUACUAGGCUCCAGAGGUCGGUCCCAGCGCCUCAGACACCCACAUCCAGCAGGGACAGGGACAGCUCGCGGCUGGGAUAGCGUCAGCCCUGGGCCACGGCGGCUUGGCACCACAUCCCGUGACAGCUCUGUCUCCAGGCGUGCUCCCCAGCCCUGCCUGAAGAUGAACCCCAAGCCCUCGCCAGUGGCCAGGUAGGAACAAGGCCAGGAGCCCUGUGGAGAGGAGCAGGGGACCACUGCGUGGACGGGGCAGGCUGGGGCACAAAGGGCACUGCUUCCUCUGGAUAGCGCUAACUCCGAGAGCUCGGGCUCCUAUCCCUAGCCGGGGCGCCUGGCCUCCUGCAGUCGGGUCCCCAGCGGGUGAGCCGGGCGCAGGUGGACCUGACCGAGGAGGCGGCCGGAGCCCCUGCGGGUGAGGCGGGAGCGGCGAGCAGGAGGGCUGACUCAGAAGGUUUAUUUGCAGCGCUGGCGGGGCGGACAAUUGGCGGCCUCGGGGU
This 1056-nucleotide long non-coding RNA is filed under the name Homo sapiens (human). RNAcentral's name for it is "HSALNT0122080". Lineage: Eukaryota; Metazoa; Chordata; Mammalia; Primates; Hominidae. The record is from RNAcentral.